CCUACGGGAGGCAGCAGUGAGGAAUAUUGGUCAAUGGACGAGAGUCUGAACCAGCCAAGUAGCGUGAAGGAUGACUGCCCUAUGGGUUGUAAACUUCGUUUAUAAAGGAAUAAAACGAGGCACGUGUGCCUUUUUGCAUGUACUUUAUUAAUAAGGAUCGGCUAACUCCGUGCCAGCAGCCGCGGUAAUACGGAGGAUCCGAGCGUUAUCCGGAUUUAUUGGGUUUAAAGGGAGCGUAGAUGGGUUGUUAAGUCAGUUGUGAAAGUUUGCGGCUCAACCGUAAAAUUGCAAUUGAUACUGGCAGUCUUGAGUACAGUUGAGGUAGGCGGAAUUCGUGGUGUAGCAGUGAAAUGCUUAGAUAUCACGAAGAACCCCGAUUGCGAAGGCAGCUUACUAAACUGUGACUGACAUUGAUGCUCGAAAGUGUGGGUAUCAAACAGGAUUAGAUACCCCUGUAGUC
This 460-nucleotide ribosomal RNA is filed under the name uncultured bacterium. RNAcentral describes it as "partial 16S ribosomal RNA". It matches the Rfam family "Bacterial small subunit ribosomal RNA", at positions 338 to 795 of the family's 1533-position model. The record is from RNAcentral.